CCUACGGGAUGCAGCAGUGAGGAAUAUUGGUCAAUGGACGCAAGUCUGAACCAGCCAUGCCGCGUGAAGGAAGACGGCUCUAUGAGUUGUAAACUGCUUUUGUACGAGGGUAAACGCAGAUACGCGUAUCUGUCUGAAAGUAUCGUACGAAUAAGGAUCGGCUAACUCCGUGCCAGCAGCCGCGGUAAUAAGGAGGAUUCAAGCGUUAUCCGGAUUUAUUGGGUUUAAAGGGUGCGUAGGCGGUCGGAUAAGUUAGAGGUGAAAUCCCGAGGCUCAACUUCGGAAUUGCCUCUGAUACUGGUCGGCGAGAGAGUAGUUGCGGUAGGCGGAAUGUAUGGUGUAGCGGUGAAAUGCUUAGAGAUCAUACAGAACACCGAUUGCGAAGGCAGCUUACCAAGCUACUUCUGACGUUGAGGCACGAAAGCGUGGGGAGCAAACAGGAUUAGAGACCCCAGUAGUC
Molecule: ribosomal RNA, 460 nt
Filed under: uncultured bacterium
Lineage: Bacteria
Description: partial 16S ribosomal RNA
Rfam family: Bacterial small subunit ribosomal RNA
Source: RNAcentral